This is a long non-coding RNA of Spea bombifrons (plains spadefoot toad), 342 nucleotides long. RefSeq lists it as uncharacterized. The transcript is spliced from 2 exons. The record is from RefSeq and is a predicted model, not a curated record. Lineage: Eukaryota; Metazoa; Chordata; Amphibia; Anura; Pelobatidae.
UAGUGUUGUGGGAAACGUGAAAGCCCUGAGCUGUGCGCCGUAAACCCCACCCUUCCAGGGACACGGAACUGUGGAAUGCGGAGUCCAUGUCGGAGGAGAAGUGGGGAGGGCUGGAUUCCUAAACGUUGCAUCUGCUUUGCAAAGGCCGUUAGUGUUGCGAGACAGCCAGACUCGGCCCGUGACUGCGCUGGGAGGAGCUCUGACCCCUCUCUGCCGCGUGAAGUAGCUCUUACACCGUUCGCCAGCAGUACACAAACAAAGCUCAACUUCUGGCCAGCUUCGGCAUCUUGUACGCUGUUGCCAGCAACUCAAAUUAAAUAUUAUUGAUGCUUUUGCCCCCCU